This 698-nucleotide long non-coding RNA is filed under the name Pan troglodytes (chimpanzee). Its description in RNAcentral is "long non-coding RNA NONPTRT014178". The record is from RNAcentral. Lineage: Eukaryota; Metazoa; Chordata; Mammalia; Primates; Hominidae.
GGAAACUUUGCUGUUUUCACCGUUAGUGAGGAGCGGUCAAGGAUGCGUAUUAAGAAAAUAACUAGAAGUGGCCGCAUGAUGUACCUCUCACCAAUGAGAUGCCUGUCAAGGGUAUACGUGGGUCUUUUGAUUUCAGGGUCAUAUAGCUGUGAGAAUUGCGGUCAUGUACGUGAAGCUUUAUACCUAAGUGUCAGCACAUCAUUAGACAGAAAAGAAAGUUAUAUCACAAGGAAAAGAUUAAGCCCUGGUCACAUCCUGCAUCUUCUUCAGUAAACACUCUGGUUGGAUGACUUGAUGAAAGCCAACAAUCUUUUGAUUUCUCUCUUCACCUAUAUCAGCAGACCCAAAUACAGUUAAUAAAUGGUUAAAGGUUGAUAACCAUCACACCCAUUCCAACAACAUCCAUCCAAAUGGAAGAUGCCUUGAUUGCAACAGUAUCUGGGGAAUAAUGCUACGGGUGACUGAUAAACCCUGUUUUUGAUGAUGUUGAUGUGGAAUCUUUAUUUUAUUUUAUUAGCAUAUAUAAAAACCCAGUUGACAAAAUUUAUGAAAACUUCACACCUCCCUGGCCUAAGAUUUUUCCCUUGGUCUUAUUAAAUUUGAAAGCCACCUGCUUUAGGCUUCAUAAACUUUCACCUUUUAAAAUAACCACAGGCCAUUCUAUGUCCUUAGCUUUCUCUGCUACUGACCCUCAGUUA